Molecule: ribosomal RNA, 466 nt
Filed under: uncultured Klebsiella sp.
Lineage: Bacteria; Pseudomonadati; Pseudomonadota; Gammaproteobacteria; Enterobacterales; Enterobacteriaceae
Description: bacterial SSU rRNA
Rfam family: Bacterial small subunit ribosomal RNA
Source: RNAcentral
CCUACGGGCGGCAGCAGUGGGGAAUAUUGCACAAUGGGCGCAAGCCUGAUGCAGCCAUGCCGCGUGUGUGAAGAAGGCCUUCGGGUUGUAAAGCACUUUCAGCGGGGAGGAAGGCGUUAAGGUUAAUAACCUUGUCGAUUGACGUUACCCGCAGAAGAAGCACCGGCUAACUCCGUGGCCAGCAGCCGCGGUAAUUCGGAGGGUGCAAGCGUUAAUCGGAAUUACUGGGCGUAAAGCGCACGCAGGCGGUCUGUCAAGUCGGAUGUGAAAUCCCCGGGCUCAACCUGGGAACUGCAUUCGAAACUGGCAGGCUAGAGUCUUGUAGAGGGGGGUAGAAUUCCAGGUGUAGCGGUGAAAUGCGUAGAGAUCUGGAGGAAUACCGGUGGCGAAGGCGGCCCCCUGGACAAAGACUGACGCUCAGGUGCGAAAGCGUGGGGAGCAAACAGGAUUAGAUACCCUGGUAGUC